AGUGAACGCUGGCGGUAGGCCUAACACAUGCAAGUCGAACGGCAGCACAGUAAGAGCUUGCUCUUACGGGUGGCGAGUGGCGGACGGGUGAGGAAUACAUCGGAAUCUACUUUUUCGUGGGGGAUAACGUAGGGAAACUUCCGCUACUACCGCAUACGACCUACGGGUUAAAGCAGGAGAUCUUCGGACCUUUCGCGAUUGAAUGAGCCGAUGUCGGAUUAGCUAGUUGGCGGGGUAAAGGCCCACCAAGGCGACGAUCCGUAGCUGGUCUGAGAGGAUGAUCAGCCACACUGGAACUGAGACACGGUCCAGACUCCUACGGGAGGCAGCAGUGGGGAAUAUUGGACAAUGGGCGAAAGCCUGAUCCAGCCAUACCGCGUGGGUGAAGAAGGCCUUCGGGUUGUAAAGCCCUUUUGUUGGGAAAGAAAAGCAGCAGGUUAAUACCCCGCUGUUCUGACGGUACCCAAAGAAUAAGCACCGGCUAACUUCGUG
Molecule: ribosomal RNA, 492 nt
Filed under: uncultured bacterium
Lineage: Bacteria
Description: partial 16S ribosomal RNA
Rfam family: Bacterial small subunit ribosomal RNA
Source: RNAcentral